Molecule: ribosomal RNA, 990 nt
Filed under: Triticum aestivum (bread wheat)
Lineage: Eukaryota; Viridiplantae; Streptophyta; Magnoliopsida; Poales; Poaceae
Description: partial small subunit ribosomal RNA
Source: RNAcentral
AUGCGCAAGCAAAUUAAGGAGCUAGAGGCGUUUGCCAAGGGAGGAGCACGCAAGGUGAUGCGUGGAGGAGGACAUGGCCGGAGCUCAGGCCCAGUUCUUGAUGUAGCUGCUGUAGUGGUCCUGGACGUUCGCCACGUCGUAGUACCGGUCCCAGAGCAUGACGCCGCCGUAGUUGGCCGCCUUCUGCACGAUCGGCAUCGUGAUCUCCCAGAGCGCCUUGGGGUGCAGGUAGCAGCUCGCCUUCUCCGACGCCGUCAGGCCGAGGUGGAUCUUGCUGCCCGGGUACGCCGCCGUCCACCUGCCCCACGCGUCCUCGAUGAACGCCGUGCAGUCCGGGUAGUCGUAGAACCUCACGUGGAUGCGCUCGAAGACCCCCGUCGAGAGCGCCGGCGCCGCAAGCCUGUCCGGGAACGCGUAGCGCGGCGUCGCCGUCAGCCGCGGCGCCUUCCCCCCGCUGGCCCUGCGCCUGGCCAGCCCCCUCGCCAGCCCGUCGUAGUGCUCCGCCGGCCCGCCCCGCUCGAUGAAGAGGUCGACGCCGUCCAGCCGCGCGCGGCCGAACGGGCGGCGCACGCCCCUGCGCCUGCCGCCGAGGUAGGAGAACCAGAGGUGGUCGGCGAGGUCGAGCGCGGACCGGUUGGUCGGGAGCGCGUAGUCGCCGCCGAAGCCGCCGAUGGAGAGGGAGACGGUGACGCCCAUGGACUGGCAGUGCCUGAUGUCGCCCCCGAUGCCGGCGAGCGGGUGGCCGGAGAGGUCGAGGCGGUACUUGCCGUGGCCGUAGACGUUGAGGAAGGACAUGAUGACCGCGGUGUAGAGGCCGGCGUCGCAGGCUUCCCUGAGAGAGCCCUCGUCCUUGUUCCGGCCCCAGAAGACGGUGAGCUGGCCGGUCUUCCCCGUGGCGGCGGCCGGAGCGGGGAGGAGGCCGUGAACGGAGAGAACAGCGGCGAUGACCAGGAGGGAGGUAGGACUCCGGCGUGUCAGCGCCAUUUCUGA